Small nucleolar RNA from Pygocentrus nattereri (red-bellied piranha), 216 nucleotides. Ensembl annotates it as ACEA small nucleolar RNA U3. NCBI's taxonomy places the organism in Eukaryota, Metazoa, Chordata, Actinopteri, Characiformes, Serrasalmidae. The record is from Ensembl.
AAGACUAUGCUUUCAGGGAUCAUUUCUAUAGUUUCUGACUUGGAAGUUUGAUUUGAAAGUGGUAACGUCUCUCUAACCACGAUGACGAGUUAAGAUGCUUUCUUCUGAGCGUGAAUCGGGUGGUGAGCGACGAGCAAGAUUGUCUGCUCUCUGUCGUUGAUGAACGUUCCUGCUGUGCUUUGCAGUCUGGAAGAAGAAAGCAUGUUCAGAGUGGUU